RNAcentral lists this transfer RNA (73 nucleotides) under Perkinsus olseni. RNAcentral's name for it is "tRNA-Gly". It matches the Rfam family "tRNA". Rfam says of the family: Transfer RNA (tRNA) molecules are approximately 80 nucleotides in length. Their secondary structure includes four short double-helical elements and three loops (D, anti-codon, and T loops). The record is from RNAcentral. Lineage: Eukaryota; Perkinsozoa; Perkinsida; Perkinsidae.
CCAACCCUUGGUCUAAUGGUUAGGAUAUCUGCCUUCCAAGCAGAUGGUCCGGGUUCAAUUCCCGGACGGUGCA